GCAUGUGGGGUGAUCUCGCUGCCACCCCACUAAUUGCCAAGGUUGACCCAGCUGAUCUGGCUGCCUAGACAGAUAUCCCCUUCCUCCCUCACUGCUAUUUCAUCCCUCCAGAAAGCUGUGCUGGGUCCAAGCCAGCCACCUUCCCUGACAGAGGAGGACNGGUCUUCAGUCGAGGAUAUACCAGUAUCUGUGCUUCCCCUAGAACUUCUAAACAGGCUCUCAAAAAACAAACACCACCACAAAUCAAAGAUUCACAGAUAAUGACUAACAGUACAUUUGUACUGGAAUAAUAUGCUUUAUUCCAUCUAC
RNAcentral lists this small nuclear RNA (309 nucleotides) under Neotoma lepida (desert woodrat). Its description in RNAcentral is "7SK RNA". It matches the Rfam family "7SK RNA". From Rfam's summary of the family: 7SK was discovered as an abundant small nuclear RNA in the mid-70s but a possible function has only recently been suggested. Two independent studies have found that 7SK RNA binds the CDK9/cyclin T complex (known as elongation factor P-TEFb). Lineage: Eukaryota; Metazoa; Chordata; Mammalia; Rodentia; Cricetidae. The record is from Rfam by way of RNAcentral.